AGAGAAAUAGCUUAAUGGUAGAGCACAUGCCUAGCAUGCAUGAGGUCCUGGGUUCAAUCCCUAGUACCUCCA
This 72-nucleotide transfer RNA is filed under the name Camelus ferus (Wild Bactrian camel). It matches the Rfam family "tRNA". Rfam says of the family: Transfer RNA (tRNA) molecules are approximately 80 nucleotides in length. Their secondary structure includes four short double-helical elements and three loops (D, anti-codon, and T loops). Lineage: Eukaryota; Metazoa; Chordata; Mammalia; Artiodactyla; Camelidae. The record is from Rfam by way of RNAcentral.